CAGUCGCCGCGGUAAUACGUAGGUGGCAAGCGUUAUCCGGAUUUACUGGGUGUAAAGGGAGCGCAGGCGGUGCGGCAAGUCUGAUGUGAAAGCCCGGGGCUCAACCCCGGGACUGCAUUGGAAACUGUCGUACUUGAGUAUCGGAGAGGUAAGUGGAAUUCCUAGUGUAGCGGUGAAAUACGUAGAUAUUAGGAGGAACACCAGUGGCGAAGGCGGCUUACUGGACGAUAACUGACGCUGAGGCUCGAAAGCGUGGGGAGCAAACAGGAUUAGAUACCCCCUAGUCCCUGUCUCUUAUACC
Molecule: ribosomal RNA, 301 nt
Filed under: uncultured bacterium
Lineage: Bacteria
Description: partial 16S ribosomal RNA
Rfam family: Bacterial small subunit ribosomal RNA
Source: RNAcentral